This 249-nucleotide ribosomal RNA is filed under the name uncultured bacterium. Its description in RNAcentral is "partial 16S ribosomal RNA". It matches the Rfam family "Bacterial small subunit ribosomal RNA", at positions 1066 to 1320 of the family's 1533-position model. The record is from RNAcentral.
CGUGAGAUGUUGGGUUAAGUCCCGCAACGAGCGCAACCCCUAUUGUUAGUUGCUACGCAAGAGCACUCUAGCGAGACUGCCGUUGACAAAACGGAGGAAGGUGGGGACGACGUCAAAUCAUCAUGCCCCUUAUAUCCUGGGCUACACACGUAAUACAAUGGCGGUCAACAGAGGGAAGCAAAGCCGCGAGGCAGAGCAAACCCCCCAAAAGCCGUCCCAGUUCGGAUUGUAGGCUGCAACUCGCCUGCA